GUUAAGUUUAAGUUAAGGUGACAAGAAGUCCCUGGCUAUCCAGAUGAAGAAAAGUGAAGUCAUUCUAAAUUGGGUCAUAUCACUUAUUGUCUAACUCAGAGAAGCUGUGAUAAGAGAGGAGGGGCUAACAGCAGGAAUCUGAGACAGCAGGUCUCAACCAGACUCCUCCCCAGGUGGACAAGAACGAGUGAUCACUCCACCCAGAGGGAGAAAAUAGGGCGACCUCAGACUUCUCUAUAGCUAAAUUCAAUUCUAGAAACCAGAGUGGGGUGAGUGGGGCGAAGCCUUUAAAAUCUUCAAAAAGAAAGAAGUCAUGAGCCAUGAAAUCUGUCCUUCGGUGAUCAUCCAAGUUUAAGGACAGCAGAAUGCUUUUGAAUAUGCAAAGACCAAGGAAAUGUGGUUGUUGGGAGCCUUUCACAAACUACACAAAGACACAUUUUAGCCAGACCUAGUGUCCAAUGGAGGAAAUCCAGACAAAGGACCGUUGGGGUAUGUGAAAUUCAUUUUAAAAUUGGACUAAAAUUAAAACAAAAAACUUUCAAAAGUUUUUAGAUUAUAACAAAAAUGUAAGCCCUUGCAAAAUUCAAAUAGCAUAACAAGUUAGAAAGCAAGUCAGAAAUGGGUAGGUGAACCAAUAUUUUCAUCUUUUUUAGGAGUCUAAACAUAUUAUUCUUGUACAGCUAAUAUAAGAAAUAAUUCAAUAUGCAAAAACAUCAAUGAAAUGCAGGGAACACCAACACACAUAUGUAAUCCAUUAAAUCUGGACGAUAAAAGAGGAGAAAAGAAGUGAAAAGAUAGAAAUCCUGGCAUUGGCCACUGCAGAGUCUAGAAAGAACUGUCCAGAAAGAAGCAGAGGAUUGGGGGUCUUGCAUGAAAUUAUAGAUCUAAGCUAAAGAAGAUUUUCAUUCUGAAAAGCAGAAUGAAGAAAUAAGUUUUUCAGCAGAGACAUCGAAAGCAAAAGAAAGGUCAUAUAGUGAAAAGAAAAACAAGAAAUAAAAACAGAAAAUGCAACCUGAAACAAGAACGAGAAGCAGCAGUCGCAACCCAAACAUCGACUCUGAGAAGAGCAUUAAGUAAGGCUACAAAAGGCUCUUAGAACGACAAAGAAUUCAGUCUAUGGUAAAGUGACACAGUGCCCAAGUAAAAAAAAUCACAAGAAAUAAGAGGAGAAACAGGCUUAUUCUCGGUAGGAGAUUUCAACUCACCUCUAUCAGUCUAGUACACUGAUCAGGUAGAUCUCCUCUUCCCAUUUUUUUUAAUGUAAUAAAUUAUACAUCAAAGACAGAGAGUGAACUUUUGGGACAAUAUUAGUAUGUUCCACAUAUAACAGACUACAAGACAACCUCAGCAAAUGGCUAAAUAACUUGCCAUGCAGCAUAACUCGAAUAAUGUUAGGGAAAAACUAACAAAGGACCCUACAUCUGGAUAUUUUAAAACUCUGUCUUUAAUAAAACACUUGAGUCAAAGUGAAACUCAAAACCAGAACUCAAAACUCAAAACCAGGACUAAGUGAUAGAGAAUAGCAACAAUGAAAACUCUAACGGAAAAGCAGAACUUCCAAACUUCCGUGCAGGGCUCAUUGGCAAGAGCAAUGGAGAUUAUAUAAAGGCAUGUCUUUUUUAAUUCUGUCUUUCCACACCUAGGUUAUUCAUACUACACUAUAUUUGCAUGUGUGUGAAAUAAUGUUUGUACAAGUCUACUGGAGCAUUUUUGGUACUAAUCAAUGUUGGAACAAUUCCAAUUCCCUUUUUUGGGGGGGAUGGGGUUACCGCAGAUUGAACUCAGGGACACUUGACCACUGAGCCCCACCCCCAGCCCCAUUUUGUAUUUUAUUUAGAGACAGGGUCUCACUGAGUUGCUGAGCACCUCACUUUUAUUGAGGCUGGCUUUGAACUCGAGAUCCUCCUGCCUCAGCCUCCUGAGCCCCUGGGAUUCCAGACAGGCACCAUCACACCUGGCUUAAAUUUCCAUUCUUAAUGGACUGUGUAAUUAUGCUAUAUCCACAAUGGGGUAUUGUACAGCUGGCAAAAAGGUCAUAAAAUAUGCAAAUAUGAUUCUUGUCUAUAAGAUAAAUUCUCCAAAAUUAUCGAGUGAAAAAAGUUAAGAGAGGAAUAAGGUAGAUGGUGUGCUCGUAGCUGUAUUGGCGGAUGUUGUGGAAUGAACUGUGUUCCCCUGCCCCCCCCCAAAAAAAAAAUUCAUAAGUUGAAACCCUGACCACCAAUGGGACUGUAUUUAGAGAUACAGCCACUGAGAGGGUCAUUGACGUUAAAGAGGCAGGUCUCUAAUUCAAUAGGACACUAGAGAUAGACACUAGGGAUGUCCACAUAGAGAGAAAAGGCCACGCAAGGGCACAGCUGGAAAGCGGUCAUCAACAAGUCAAGGAGAGGGGACUCAAGAAAAACCAAACCUGCCAACACCCGAACUAUGACAGAUUUCUUUUGUUACCUCUAGCAAAUUGAUACCAAUUUUAGCCCUGGAGUGCCACUGUAAGAAAGUGGCUUUGAACUGGGUUCUACAAUCGCCAGUCGCCAGGGUGCCUCUGCGCUGGGGACUUGUGAGUGGCGACCGAGGAGCAAAGUGGCUUCUGCUCCGUUCUCUACAGGCAGGACAUGCAUUCUGAUUUUACUAUAGUCUCAGAGGCACCGACGUUUUUAUUUUUGGCUGGAGAUACCAGGGAUUGAACUCAGGGGCGCUGGACCACUGAGCCACAUCCCCAGUUGUGACAGAGCAGGCUGUGAGCCAGGAGCCAGCCCCCCUGGUGGUGGGCAUCUACCCUGCCCUGCAAGGUGUCUCUGGACUGAGUAGGGAUCAGCCACCCCGCGACCCCACUCGGGCCUCACGCGCCCCAAGGCAGAGGUACUGGCCUGUUUUGAAAGGCGGAUGCGAUGGUGAGGAUCCAGAACUCGCUGAGGAUGCAGCCGAACGCCAGGCGGUCUUCCACAUUAAAGAUGCUUGGUGGCAUCUUUGGACCGAAACGUCACAUCCGACAUUGAUGCUAAUGCUCAUUUAUUGAGCACGCAGCCCUACACGCCAGGCAAUACCUGAGCUCUUCUGAAUACGUCACCGGUUCCCAAAGUGCCCUCUGGGACCUGGGGAGUCAAGAUGCUUUUCUUCCAGGUUAAAACUCUGAUUUGCUUUUCUUACUCUCCUUCUGUGACUACGGUAGGUGGAAUUUUCCAGAGGCUUCAUGAUGUCAUCCCUCGGAUGGCCGAUAGUGUGUGUAAAUUUGUGUGUUCUUGUGUUUUAAGUUUUUCCUAGUUUAAAUUUUUAAUAUGGUAGAUAUAGCUCCAUAAAACAAAAAGUCUUUGGACAUUGCCAAUAAUUUUUCAGAGUGUUAAAGGGUCCUGAAAAAAGUUUGAUAAUUGCCUGUAUUCCCUACUUCACAGGAUCCCCCCAACAACCCUGAAGGUUGGGCGUCGCCACUCUCAGCUCCUGGGUGACCAAAUCAAGGGUGAGGGUGACUAAGCACUUGUCGGUUUACACAGCUGGUAGCGGAUGGUGCCAUUCCAGACGAAUCCAGACUCCAACAUCUCAACCUCAAGGUUUAUGUUCCAGCCACAGUUUGUAUCCUUGAAUCCACCCUUGCUCUCUCCCAGCGAGCUGUGCGUCUCUCCCUGCUGCUGGGUCUGUUUUACUUGGAAUAUAUCCCUAGGGUCUAACAUGGUGCCUAGCACUUAGCAGUUGCUCAGUAAGUUACCUAGUUCAUGAACAAAAGGGCUCUGCCUGCUAAGGCUCCCUGACCUCUUGUCUUUGGGAGGCUAAAAGGUUCUGGCCACUGGGGGUUGUCUGUGUCCCCCACCAGUCCUGCUCAGCUUCUGCCUUUCAAUUAUUGAACUGGACAAUCUCUUGGAUAGCCUGGACUUUGUUUCCAGUGAGAUUUAAAUGUUGAUUAAUGGUUUAGAAAUAAUUUUUAAAUAUUUAUUUAUUUUUUUUUUAGUUUCCAGUGGACACAACAUCUUUGUUUUUGUAUGUGGUGCUGAGGAUCGAGCCCGGGCCGCACGCAUGCCAGGCAAGCGCGCUACCACUUGAACCACAUCGCCAGCCCCUGAUUAAUGGUUUAAAUAGUAUACUCCCCUACUAGUACUGGGUUGGUCCAGUGUGGUCCUGUCUUGCCCUGAAUUUUUUUUUUUAAAAAAAGUUCUCUACAUAUGGAGUCAUGAAGCUUUAGGAUGUUAGAAAAGGAAGACUCUUAAGAUUGAUCCAGGGGCUGAGGCAGUGGCUCAGUGGUAGAUCACUUGCCCAACAUGUGUGAAGCACUGGGUUCGAUUCUCUGCACCACCUUUAAAUAAAUAAAAUAAAGGUCCAUUGACAACUAAAAAAUAUUUUUAAAAAAUUGAUCCAGUUGGGAAGGAGUACCUCACAAAUCAGCACAAUUUUUAUGUGACAGUUAAAGAAAAUUAAAAAUAAAGCAUAUUUGAGACAGGAAGGAGGGAGGGAGAGAAAGAGGCAGGGGAAAAAGAAAGGGAAGGGAAUGACGUCCUCAAAGCCCCAGGUGGGGUCAGCUGAGCCCCCUGGCUUUGUUGCACCCUGGGUUACAAGACGGCAGUUCCAGGGGCUAUUUUGCUCUCCGCUGCCCUGUGUCAGCAUGUCUUGUCUGAGGAGCCCCUCCCCCACAGGACUUGGUCCCUGUCUACUUUUUGGACCCAGAUUGCCCCUAAGCAGAGGUGGGUGCAGAGUGUCUGUCCUACAUCACAUUUGCCAGAAUCCUGAGCACUGCAUUGACUCUGGGUCGUUUCUCAGGAGAGAUUCUAACGUGUGUUUAGGAAGGACCUGAACGCAGAGUCCAGAGUCAAGUGGGCCUCCGAGGCAGCUGUGAGAACGUGGGGAGCCACUUCCCUUCUCUGAGUCUCCGUUUCCUCUUUUGAAACAUGGGGCAGGGUCCAGGACCGCACACCUCUCAGAGGUGCAAUGAAGAUCACACAAGGUGCUUUGCAGACGUAUCCCUAAGACAGGUAAUGCUCAACCUCGGGGCAGAAUGGACAACUGUAUUUUUAAAAAUCCAAACGAUUGCUUUGGUUGCGCUUUGUAAAUCCAGAUCUGCAAGCACCAACACUUACUUCUAAAUCGGUGGCCUUGGGUCACAGGUGUCACAUGAUGAACACCCACCCCCAGACUGUAUGAAUUAUACUAUUGGUGACUGCACUUACAGCCAUGCAUUCCCCGGCACAGAGCCCUGCCAGGUGUGGGCACAGGCCGAUGAGUGAUGGCCACGCCUGGAGUAUACAGAAGAGGAGCCGAGGUGAAGUCUGGGAGGUGACCUUUCCUGUCAGCGCCAGAGACAGAGUUUCCAAAUCAUGAUACCAUGGGUUACUUGUCACCUACAAUAUAGUAUCACUAAAAGACCCCAGAGGACCUCUCUAUUAUGGGACAUCAUGUGAUCAAAUAUCUCAUUAAGGGACCCUUGGAGAUUUUACUGGAACAAUAACUAGGCUCACUGUUAGCAAGAUGGUAUCAGUAAAGCCACAAAGUGCUUCAGGAGCCACCAAAGGUAGGAUUCCUUAUCUACAGUCUGAUUUUUUGUUGGGACAUUGGCAAUCUUUAGAGUCCAGGCAUUGACCAAUCCUUCCUAACCCAGGUGCCUUGUGCGUGUGAUGGCUUGUGCCUUUCCAAAGCUCUAGUUGGCCUGCUCAGUUGACCUCACUGACCCCUGGGAAGCCAAGUUGUCAUGAGAUCGGAUGCAGAGAUAAAAUGUCUAUCUGGGUCACUCGGCUGUGUUUUCCAGGCAUCUCCUUGUCCCCUUGGGGCUGCAAGGAGGCGGUGGAGGUGGAGGAGACUGAGGCAGGCGGAGGGCCCCGGCAUGUGCGUGGGGGUGGGCGCUGUCCUGUCUCCCAUCUUUCCCAGGAAGGCAGGGCCCAGCCAGUUGUGGUGGCCACAGGGUGGGGCCAGUCCUGAUGUAGUGGGCUUAGUGGUCAGCCGGCCCCUGUCUGCCUGCCCUUUUGCAGGUUGGAACUCUUUGUCCUAAAGAUCCUGGAGAUCAGGCGAGGAGGGGAUUGCAGCUGCCACAGUUGCCACCUGAGGCUCUGGCAGGCUGCAGGCCACCUACAGCAGAAGGAGCAGCCCCACACUAGGUGGUUACAGUUGGCAGAGGGCAGGGUCGGGGACAGGCCUCCCGCUGACUCUCUGCCUGGCACCUCUCUCUGCAGCUUAAGGCUUAUUUUCCUACCCUGAGGAGUAACCCUGGGAUUGGGCUUCUGAAGCCACUUUCCUGCAUCCACAUCCCACGGUUCAUGGGGAUGCCUGGUUCCUGCUGUCAGAGCAAAGUGCUGUGUCAGCUCCCUGAGUCCCUCCCUGGACACUGAGGACCACUUCACUUCCUGGCCCAGGUGGGGUCAGCUGAGCCCCCUGACUUUGUUGCACCCUGGGUUACAAGACGGCAGUCCCAGGGGCUAUUUUGCUCUCCACUGCCCUCCUUCCCCAGUCACUCACCGGGCCACUCACCGGCAGAGGAUUGGAACAGGCAGAGCAGCACCAGCAGCACCCCUCUCAUCUCUGCCAUCCCCAGAGAGGACCACAGCGGACACCAUGGGCAACUGGGGAGACAGGAGAUUCAGCGACUGCACAUCCCGGCAAACACACCCGGGGUCUUCCUCACCCCCCACAAAGGGAUUCACACAGUGACACUCAGAGACGUUGAGAAGCCAGCCCAAGGUCACACAUCUCCCAAGCUGUGGACCUGAAAUUUGAUCUCAGGACCGCCUGAAUCCAGGCUCCCGGGUUCUUCCUGUCAUUCCACAUCUCCAGGCCAGCACCCUUGCUUCAAGCAAUGCAUGAUGCCCUAAGAAACCCGGGUACACCGUUCUAAGUCACCUUGUUCUCCUCAUGACACCGGAUGUUCCUGGUCCUCAGGAUGGUCUUCAGAGUUCUUCCAUGAACUGCUCUCACUAAAGAAGAAAUGAAUUCACUCUGGCGGCCUUACACAGCAGAGCUCAACAGAGGAGUUUGUUCUACUACCUCGGGAAGAAUGUUCCAUUGUGGCAUCGUGGUUACCAUGGUGCCUCCAAGCAAACGUCUGGAUGUGGGAACUCAGGAAGACCUAGGAAGACAAGCUUCUGGACAUCUAACCUCGUCCGGCGCUGCCCAGGUCUGGCUGGGGAGACAUCUCUUGCGAGAUCACAGAGUUCUCACUGGUGGUAGCCUGGGUCUGUCUUUGCCCCCAGUACCCACCCUGUAGCUACCCAAGUCUGUCAGACUGCUGGACUGAGGAAGCCCACAAAUGGGGUAGGUUGGAGGUUUCCAGUUCCUUCGGCAUCCUAUAUCCAGUCAGCCCAGUUUCCUUUAGCUCAGUGGGGGCUCAAGCCAAGCAGUAGACCUGCUGGGCUAAGACAUGGGGCCAGCUGGAAUCUGUGCUUCAGCCAUUUAUGAGCAACUUUGGUUUCAGCACAAAUGCCAGGACUCGAGGAAAGUGUCGACAGCAUGGGGAUAAGAUUUAACCUGGGGAGCCACAGAGGCUCACAAGCACCUGGCACCAGCAUUCAGAAGAUGUUCUGUAUGGGUACUGAUGCAUGGAGGGAGACAAAAUGGCGGGAUGGGAAGGGAAGCCCCAGUCAGAAAGGGGCUGCUGUCUCCUGGCCCUGGUGGUCCUCUGGAUGCCCUGCACACCUGCACCUUUGAUUGUUGAACCCAAGGUACUUUAUCACCAGCCUUUUUUUUUUUUUUAAUUUUAAUUUUGAGACAGGGUCUCACUAAGUUGCUUAGGGCUUUGCUAAAUUGCUAAGGCUGGCCUUGAACUUGUGAUCCUUCUGCCCUAGCCUCCUAAAUCACUGGGAUUAUAGACGUGCACCACCAUGCCUGGCACCAAUUUCUCACCAUUAAAUUCUAUACACCACUAAACUUACAACAGAAAUGCUAGAAAAUGUUAUUAUCAUCUUGUACUUACUGAAAGUUUCCUCUUCUCUCUUUCUCCUGCUCCUGAGAGAGAAUGCAUUUCUUAUUCCAUUUCUCCUUAAUAGGUUUAUCUACAUGAUGUAAUGCCUAAACUCUGUAUUAAGCACAUGUGCAAGAGUUUCUCCCGGGUAAAGUCCCCCAUAUCAGUUAGAACCCUUGGCAUCUUAUUUAAGAAACCCUUUAGUAGCUGAACAUUUGAGAGAUCAGUUCCACUUUGUCUUCUCAAAACUUUAUAGUCUCCACAGUAAGUCCUCUGUCUGGAUUUUUUUUUUUUUGAGGUGCACAGUGUGGAUCCAUU
Molecule: non-coding RNA, 8182 nt
Organism: Ictidomys tridecemlineatus (thirteen-lined ground squirrel)
Lineage: Eukaryota; Metazoa; Chordata; Mammalia; Rodentia; Sciuridae
Source: RefSeq, a predicted model, not a curated record